GACGAACGCUGGCGGCGUGCCUAAUACAUGCAAGUAGAACGCACAGUUUAUACCGUAGCUUGCUACACCAUAGACUGUGAGUUGCGAACGGGUGAGUAACGCGUAGGUAACCUGCCUGGUAGCGGGGGAUAACUAUUGGAAACGAUAGCUAAUACCGCAUAAUAUUAAUUAUUGCAUGAUAAUUGAUUGAAAGAUGCAACUGCAUCACUACCAGAUGGACCUGCGUUGUAUUAGCUAGUAGGUGAGGUAACGGCUCACCUAGGCGACGAUACAUAGCCGACCUGAUAGGGUGAUAGGCCACACGGGGACUGAGACACGGCACAGACUCAUACGGGAGGCAGCAGUAGGGAAUAUUCGGCAAUGGACGAAAGUCGGACCGAGUAACGCAGCGUGAGUGAAGAAGGGUUUCGGAUAGAAAAGAUCUGUUGUAAGAGAAGAACGGGUGUGAGAGUGGAAAGUUCACACUGUGACGGUAUCUUACCAGAAAGGGACGGCUAACUACGUG
RNAcentral lists this ribosomal RNA (505 nucleotides) under uncultured bacterium. RNAcentral describes it as "partial 16S ribosomal RNA". It matches the Rfam family "Bacterial small subunit ribosomal RNA", at positions 28 to 507 of the family's 1533-position model. The record is from RNAcentral.